AGAGCGAACGCUGGCGGCAGGCUUAACACAUGCAAGUCGAGCGGGCGUAGCAAUACGUCAGCGGCAGACGGGUGAGUAACGCGUGGGAACAUACCUUUUGGUUCGGAACAACACAGGGAAACUUGUGCUAAUACCGGAUAAGCCCUUACGGGGAAAGAUUUAUCGCCGAAAGAUCGGCCCGCGUCUGAUUAGCUAGUUGGUGAGGUAACGGCUCACCAAGGCGACGAUCAGUAGCUGGUCUGAGAGGAUGAUCAGCCACAUUGGGACUGAGACACGGCCCAAACUCCUACGGGAGGCAGCAGUGGGGAAUAUUGGACAAUGGGCGCAAGCCUGAUCCAGCCAUGCCGCGUGAGUGAUGAAGGCCCUAGGGUUGUAAAGCUUCUUUUGUGCGGGAAGAUAAUGACGGUACCGCAAGAAUAAGGCCCCGGCUAACUUCGCGCCAGCAGCCGC
This 450-nucleotide ribosomal RNA is filed under the name uncultured bacterium. RNAcentral's name for it is "SSU rRNA". It matches the Rfam family "Bacterial small subunit ribosomal RNA", at positions 26 to 518 of the family's 1533-position model. The record is from RNAcentral.